RNAcentral lists this ribosomal RNA (453 nucleotides) under uncultured Desulfocapsa sp. RNAcentral's name for it is "bacterial SSU rRNA". It matches the Rfam family "Bacterial small subunit ribosomal RNA", at positions 933 to 1382 of the family's 1533-position model. The record is from RNAcentral. Lineage: Bacteria; Pseudomonadati; Thermodesulfobacteriota; Desulfobulbia; Desulfobulbales; Desulfocapsaceae.
UGGAGCAUGUGGUUUAAUUCGACGCAACGCGCAGAACCUUUACCUGGUCUUGACAUCCCGGGAAUUUCCUUGAAAGAGGGAAGUGCCUCGCAAGAGGAGCCUGGAGACAGGUGCUGCAUGGCUGUCGUCAGCUCGUGUCGUGAGAUGUUGGGUUAAGUCCCGCAACGAGCGCAACCCUUGUCUUUAGUUGCCAUCAUUCAGUUGGGCACUCUAAAGAGACUGCCGGUGUCAAACCGGAGGAAGGUGGGGAUGACGUCAAGUCCUCAUGGCCUUUAUGACCAGGGCUACACACGUACUACAAUGGCCGGUACAAAGGGCAGCGACAUUGCGAGAUGGAGCGAAUCCCGAAAAGCCGGUCUCAGUCCGGAUUGGAGUCUGCAACUCGACUCCAUGAAGUUGGAAUCGCUAGUAAUCGUGGAUCAGCAUGCCACGGUGAAUACGUUCCCGGGCCUU